RNAcentral lists this ribosomal RNA (1244 nucleotides) under 'Viburnum macrocephalum' phytoplasma. RNAcentral describes it as "bacterial SSU rRNA". It matches the Rfam family "Bacterial small subunit ribosomal RNA", at positions 153 to 1399 of the family's 1533-position model. The record is from RNAcentral. Lineage: Bacteria; Bacillati; Mycoplasmatota; Mollicutes; Acholeplasmatales; Acholeplasmataceae.
GAAACGACUGCUAAGACUGGAUAGGAGAUAAGAAGGCAUCUUCUUAUUUUUAAAAGACCUAGCAAUAGGUAUGCUUAGGGAAGAGCUUGCGUCACAUUAGUUAGUUGGUGGGGUAAUGGCCUACCAAGACGAUGAUGUGUAGCCGGGCUGAGAGGUCGAACGGCCACAUUGGGACUGAGACACGGCCCAAACUCCUACGGGAGGCAGCAGUAAGGAAUUUUCGGCAAUGGAGGAAACUCUGACCGAGCAAUGCCGCGUGAACGAUGAAGUAUUUUGGUACGUAAAGUUCUUUUAUUAGGGAAGAAAAGAUGGUGGAAAAACCAUUAUGACGGUACCUAAUGAAUAAGCCCCGGCUAACUAUGUGCCAGCAGCCGCGGUAAUACAUAGGGGGCAAGCGUUAUCCGGAAUUAUUGGGCGUAAAGGGUGCGUAGGCGGUUAAAUAAGUUUAUGGUCUAAGUGCAACGCUCAACGUUGUGAUGCUAUAAAAACUGUUUAGCUAGAGUUGGAUAGAGGCAAGUGGAAUUCCGUGUGUAGUGGUAAAAUGCGUAAAUAUACGGAGGAACACCAGAAGCGAAGGCGGCUUGCUGGGUCUUAACUGACGCUGAGGCACGAAAGCGUGGGGAGCAAACAGGAUUAGAUACCCUGGUAGUCCACGCCCUAAACGACGAGUACUAAACGUUGGAUAAAACCAGUGUUGAAGUUAACACAUUAAGUACUCCGCCUGAGUAGUACGUACGCAAGUAUGAAACUUAAAGGAAUUGACGGGACUCCGCACAAGCGGUGGAUCAUGUUGUUUAAUUCGAAGGUACCCGAAAAACCUCACCAGGUCUUGACAUGCUUUUGCAAAGCUGUAGAAAUACAGUGGAGGUUAUCAGAAGCACAGGUGGUGCAUGGUUGUCGUCAGCUCGCGUCGUGAGAUGUUGGGUUAAGUCCCGCAACGAGCGCAACCCUUGUUGUUAAUUGCCAUCAUUAAGUUGGAGACUUUAGCAAGACUGCCAAUGAUAAAUUGGAGGAAGGUGGGGACGACGUCAAAUCAUCAUGCCCCUUAUGACCUGGGCUACAAACGUGAUACAAUGGCUGUUACAAAGGGUAGCUAAAGCGUAAGCUUCUGGCGAAUCUCAAAAAAGCAGUCUCAGUUCGGAUUGAAGUCUGCAACUCGACUUCAUGAAGUUGGAAUCGCUAGUAAUCGCGAAUCAGCAUGUCGCGGUGAAUACGUUCACGGGGUUUGUACACACCGCCCGUCA